Molecule: ribosomal RNA, 494 nt
Filed under: uncultured bacterium
Lineage: Bacteria
Description: partial 16S ribosomal RNA
Rfam family: Bacterial small subunit ribosomal RNA
Source: RNAcentral
GACGAACGCUGGCGGCGUGCUUAACACAUGCCAGUCGAACGGUGAAGCGCCUUCCUUUUUGGUGGGUGUGGAUGAGUGGCGAACGGGUGAGUAACACGUGAGUAACCUGCCCCCUUCUUCUGGAUAACCGCAUGAAAGUGUGGCUAAUACGGGAUAUUCUGGGUCUGUCGCAUGAUGGGUCUGGGAAAGAUAUUGUUUCGGUGGGGGAUGGGCUCGCGGCCUAUCAGCUUGUUGGUGGGGUGAUGGCCUACCAAGGCGGUGACGGGUAGCCGGCCUGAGAGGGUGGACGGUCACAGAGGGACUGAGACACGGCCCAGACUCCUACGGGAGGCAGCAGGGGGGAAUAUUGCACAAUGGGCGCAAGCCUGAUGCAGCGACGCCGCGUGAGAGAUGGAGGCCUGCGGGUUGUGAACCUCUUUCGCCAGUGAAGCAGGCCUGCCUCGUUUGUGGGUGGGUUGACGGUAGCUGGAGAAGAAGCGCCGGCUAACUACGUG